Molecule: unclassified non-coding RNA, 1176 nt
Filed under: Rhizobium sp. RMCC TR2021
Lineage: Bacteria; Pseudomonadati; Pseudomonadota; Alphaproteobacteria; Hyphomicrobiales; Rhizobiaceae
Description: partial contains 16S ribosomal RNA, 16S-23S ribosomal RNA intergenic spacer, and 23S ribosomal RNA
Rfam family: tRNA (bases 209-282)
Source: RNAcentral
GGUAAGACGACCGGCACAUGUCGCACGACAUGGCCCGGUAUGAACCUUCCCGUGCUUUUUAGAACAAUAGAUGGCACCAGUCAGGUGACCAUCGAAACGCAAUACGCCACGGAAUACCUUCGGGUAUCGGAUGGUAUGGCGAAAUACCGCCGACUACGUUUCUCUUUCUUCAAGAAGACAAAAAACCGCACGACCGGUUUGACUGAAUGGGCCCGUAGCUCAGUUGGUUAGAGCACACGCUUGAUAAGCGUGGGGUCGGUAGUUCGAGUCUACCCGGGCCCACCAUUUGCUGAAGAGCGGAUGGCCUGGUGCCGCACGGGUUGCGAACACAGUUGAAUGGCGCGCGGAUUAUGGUGUUGAUGAACGGGCUUUGUGCUGACGCUUGUCGGCUGAGGCUGUUCCCAAGUGAUUGGGGCUGUAGCUCAGCUGGGAGAGCACCUGCUUUGCAAGCAGGGGGUCAGCGGUUCGAUCCCGCUCAGCUCCACCAUAUAUUGUCCUGACGCUGUCGCGGCCUUUGGCCGCUGCGCUCCGGACGGGCCGCCGAACGAUCGGCGACGGCCUCUGGCCUGUAUGGGUGAACCCGUUGUUGGUUUGCCGCCUUUGUCUUCUGAAGAAAUAAAAGUUUGCACGACGCAUUUGCGUCUGUGCCUGUUCUGCAAAAAUCGUGAAGAGAAGAUUGAUCUGGAGGCUUCCAGGUAUGGGUUUAGGCCCAUGUCCGAUGCCGGUUCCAAUGAUGUCGUUGAUGGCCUAGCCGGCCGGAUACGAAAGAGGGAUCGGAGUAGGUAGGAAGCUUGUCACUCUGGUCGUUCGUUGUUGGCAUUCCUUAUGGGGAUGCUUCUGACGGAUUACUGAUGGCCGUUGCCUGACCGCGCGGUCCUGGAUCACAUCUCGAGAAGCUGGUCUUAAAGACAGACUGCAAGCGAACUGCUCGGCGUAGUUCCAAUCAAGCAGAUCUGUCGAACACGUCGAUGGCAUCAUGAGAAGGGCUGGUUGUAAAAGGUAACCGGUCCGCCACGCAUUGGGUUGAACCUCUAGGGGUUUGGGCUGAUGGGUGGCUAUAUUGAUGAGCAUUGGCAAUGAGAACGAUUAAGUGUCGUAAGGGCAUUUGGUGGAUGCCUUGGCAUGCACAGGCGAAGAAGGACGUGAUACGCUGCGAUAAGCCGUGGGAGCUGCGAA